Molecule: transfer RNA, 82 nt
Filed under: Lepisosteus oculatus (spotted gar)
Lineage: Eukaryota; Metazoa; Chordata; Actinopteri; Semionotiformes; Lepisosteidae
Rfam family: tRNA
About the family: Transfer RNA (tRNA) molecules are approximately 80 nucleotides in length. Their secondary structure includes four short double-helical elements and three loops (D, anti-codon, and T loops).
Source: Rfam by way of RNAcentral
AUUAGAGUGGCCAAGCGGUCUAAGCACUACGAUUAGGUCACAGUCACCCCUGGAGAUGUGGGUUUGAAUCCCACCUCUAUUG